This 1504-nucleotide long non-coding RNA is filed under the name Homo sapiens (human). RNAcentral describes it as "long independently transcribed non-coding RNA 1520 (LINC01520)". The record is from RNAcentral. Lineage: Eukaryota; Metazoa; Chordata; Mammalia; Primates; Hominidae.
CGACUUUACUGUGCCAGAUGUCAUCCCAAGUCCAGAAACCAUGUCUCAGGGGAGGAAUCUUUUUACUGAAGGGGCAUGAAGAGGGGAAAGAACACUGGCCCUGGGUCCAGCAUUGUAUCAGCUGCUUCACAUCCAGCAUCUAAUGCAGUUGCCCCAUCUAAUGCUCAAGCUGUAACGCUACCUUAGUUUCUCCAAUUAACAGAUGAGAGGGCCAAAGCUCCAAGUAGUUGGGCAGGUUGCCCAGGAUGGAUGCAUACGUAGAAGAUAGAACAACCCAGAGUGGUGUGAUUCCAAACCAUGCUUUCUCCAUUGCAUCACAGUGAUCUUUAAGAUCACCAGCAGAGUGGACUGGGACUUCAGGGUAAGAUCACAUCAAGAUAUCAAGUCCAGAGAGGCCAACCCCACACCGUUCACAUGAUCUCUGAAACAAUUUUCAAGAACAGCACUGUGAAUUCAACUCGACACUCUUCCAUCAAGCAAGGACGGAAAACUCCAAAUGACUGCAAGACAAGAGCUCCCAGGAAACACAGAAUUCCAGAGCAGAUUCUUCUUUUGAAGUUUCUGUGAAUAAAAUCUCAUAAUCAGAGCUUCACUGCAGCAGAUAAAUGGGCCAGCGCCUGAGCUCAAAUGCACGGAAGCAAGGAAGACCCACCCCGCCUGUCUCCCACCUCUCUCGGUGAAACCUUCCCAGAUGGCUGCCAGAAAGGCUUCAGAUUCUUGGGGAAGCAGUCAAAUGUUUCAGCAGCCAUUUGACAAGUCUGUCAUCCUCCUGCCUCUCCCUGACUCUCAGAUGAUGUCCAUAGAGAAUGGAGCUGUUGAGGAAGCCAGAAAGGAACUGAGGAAGUGACAAAUAGAUUCUUGUAUAAAACAAACCAACAAAAAUUUUAUGGGUGCAUUGAAUGCCAGGAGACUCAAAAAUAGAAGUGCCUUGGAUCUCUGUCAACCUCUAAGGGGUCCCAUGGGAGUGUGCCUCUCCUCCUUCCUCUCAAUUGCAUUCCCCAGCAUCUGUCUCCUGUGAGAGAUGCUUCCCAUCUCUGGCAUUCUACUCUACUUCAUCCUGUGUGUGACCGCCCCAGAACUGUGGAAUGGAGUUCCAAGACACAGAGAAUUGGACAAUAAGCAGUGUUGAUGAGGAUGUACAGCAACAGAGACUCUCAUCUUCCUAAGUUCAGUGGGAGCAAAUGUUGGUAAAAUCACUUUGGAAAACAGCUACUAUUAAAAAAAAAAAAGUACCACAAACCAGAUGGCUUAAAGCAACAGAAAUUUGUGACUCACAGUUCUGGAGGCCAGAAAUUCAAAAUCAAGGUGUCAGCAGAGUUUCCUGGAGGUGAGAGAUUCAUAUCUGAGCUUUCCACCUCUAAUGAGGAGCGGCUUCAUGAAGGAACGGACGGGAUUGCUCCAGAAGGUCAUUGAUUUUCAGCCUCUAAAAGGACAACUGUAAUCCUGGUUGAUCUUAACUCUCAAAUUUAAUAAAAUCAGUUUAAAUAUUUUAAAAAAAAAAAAA